AGACCCACGCCCACAGUUGCCAGCGUACUCUCUGGAGUGACGGGUACACUGUGGGGACCGGCCGCUGCUAAAGCGGAGGAAGGAAUGGGCAACGGUAGGUCAGUAUGCCCCGAAUAUCCCGGGCUACACGCGAGCUACAAUGGUUGGUACAAUGGGUAUCUACCCCGAAAGGGGACGGGAAUCUCCUAAAACCAAUCUUAGUUCGGAUUGAGGGCUGCAACUCGCCCUCAUGAAGCUGGAAUCCGUAGUAAUCGCGUUUCAACAGAACGCGGUGAAUACGUCCCUGCUCCUU
RNAcentral lists this ribosomal RNA (292 nucleotides) under uncultured Methanosaeta sp. RNAcentral's name for it is "partial 16S ribosomal RNA". It matches the Rfam family "Archaeal small subunit ribosomal RNA", at positions 1048 to 1338 of the family's 1478-position model. Lineage: Archaea; Methanobacteriati; Methanobacteriota; Methanomicrobia; Methanotrichales; Methanotrichaceae. The record is from RNAcentral.